CGAAGGGGGCUAGCGUUGCUCGGAAUUACUGGGCGUAAAGGGCGCGUAGGCGGCACUGUUAGUCAGGCGUGAAAGUCCUGGGCUCAACCUGGGAACUGCGCUUGAUACGGCAGAGCUAGAGGAUGGAAGAGGCUCGCGGAAUUCCCAGUGUAGAGGUGAAAUUCGUAGAUAUUGGGAAGAACACCGGUGGCGAAGGCGGCGAGCUGGUCCAUUACUGACGCUGAGGCGCGACAGCGUGGGGAGCAAACAGG
Molecule: ribosomal RNA, 251 nt
Filed under: uncultured bacterium
Lineage: Bacteria
Description: partial 16S ribosomal RNA
Rfam family: Bacterial small subunit ribosomal RNA
Source: RNAcentral